AAGCAAACUUUCCGCGGAAGCCCGAUGAUCAUUUGUGGUUCAUUCAAACGCGCCAUUCUUUCCUUUGAGGGCUUAUUCAUGGCUGAUUAGUUCGGUUUAUUGAAGAAAUGGCAGAAAUGGAGGCAAAAGGGGAGGAACAAGAUCGGCCAUGGCAAUCAUACAACACAGUCUACACCAAUGCAAAAGCUGGGAUGGAUGGAGUUGAUAAGGAGAGAGUGCAAAAGAUAGUCUAUGAGAUGAGCAAAGGAUCAAAAUAUUUUGAAAAUGAGAAAAGAAAGGAGGCUUCUAUUCAGCAAAGAGUGGAUAGUAUGCGUUCUCAUUGUGAAAAUCUGACAAAGGAUGAACUGUCACAUUUUGAAAAGAUUGCUGACAAAAGAGUUUUGGAGUUGGAAGCUACUCGUAACCUAUCAAGGAUUUGGAUGCAUGUUGAUAUGGAUGCUUUCUAUGCAGCCGUUGAGAUGCUAGAAAAUCCCUCCUUAAGGGGGAAGCCAUUGGCAGUUGGUAGUAUGUCUAUGAUCUGCACGGCUAAUUAUGAGGCUCGGAGAUUUGGGGUUCGAGCUGCAAUGCCUGGUUUUAUUGCUCGGAAAUUGUGCCCAGAGUUGUCUUUUGUUCCUCCCGAUUUCAAGAAGUAUCAAUUUUAUAGCGACUUAGCAAGAAAAGUUUUCCAGAGAUAUGAUCCUCAUUUCAUUGCAACUAGUUUGGAUGAAGCAUACCUUGAUGUCACCGUGAUUUGUAAAGAACAGGGCAUGGAUGGCAGAGAAGUUGCUGAGGAGCUUUGUGAUGGGGUUUACAAGGAGACAGGUCUCACAUGCAGUGCUGGGGUGGCACCAAAUCGCUUGCUUGCAAAGGUGUGCUCAGAUAUCAAUAAACCUAAUGGACAGUUUGUUCUUCAAAAUGAUCGGAUGGCUGUCAUGACAUUUAUAUCAUCUCUUCCAAUACGCAAGAUUGGUGGUAUUGGGAAGGUGACUGAACAAAUUCUGAAGAAUGUUCUUGGAAUCACUACUUGUGAGGAGUUGCAGCAAAAGCGUGGCUAUAUUUAUGCGCUGUUUCCUCAAUGUUCUGCAGAUUUUUUCCUCUCUGUGGGGCUGGGUUUAGGAAAAACAGGAACCCCUCAGUAUGUGCCCCGGAAGAGUAUGAGCAGUGAACGGACAUUUUCAGCUACUAGCGAUGAGACACUGCUUUUCCAUAAAUUGGAAGAUAUUGCGGAAACAUUAUCAAAUGACAUGAAGAAGGAUGACCUUUAUGGGCGGACAUUGACCCUCAAAAUAAAGACUUCAACCUUUGAGGUUCGAACUAGAGCAGUUUCUUUGCAGCGGUAUGUUAAUUCAAAGGAAGACAUCUUAUGUCAUGCUUCCAAGUUGUUGAAGGCAGAGCUUCCUGGUUCCCUGAGGUUAAUUGGCCUGCGUAUGUCCCAGUUCAAUGAUGAUAGAAUUGGACGUGGUGUACCUAUCCAAAGAACUCUCGAAGAAAUAUUCAAUUCAGUAGAUUCUUCUUCUUCAAUGACUCUGGGUUCGAAUAGGGAAAAUAUCAAUGCAGUGAUUGGUUGCCAUGAGCUCAAUGCUAAUGUUCUUAAUGAUAGUUUUGUAGAUGACCAUGGAAGCUGCCUCUCAAAUGCAACUCUUCAUAGUGAACCAGGGAACAUUCGCAGUUCUGGAGACCUGCCUGAUUUCAAUCACCUACACGAGUUGGAACAUUAUGGAGAUGGCUUGCUGGACAACUUCAAAAUAGAGAGAAACGAGAGUUCUUCGGACCAGCACUUGGAAUCCACCAAUCAAUCAGAAUCAAAUAGCAUGACCAGCCUUUUCAUUGAGGAGCCUUUUUGCUGGAUUGAUGAUUAUAGAUGUUCAUUGUGUGGUGUUGAAUUGCCCCCUGAUUUCCUUGAGGAGAGGCAAGAACACUCCGAUUACCAUCUAGCCGCAAUGAUCCAAAGGGAGGAAUCUGGACACUUUCCAGAGAAAACCAUUCAAAAGAAGAGGCUCAUGUAUCAGCCACGUGGAGUGAGAGAAAGUAUGCGGAAGAAGUCAAAGCAUUGUAAGGGAGAUGGAAGGUAUCUUCCUAUUGAUGUAUUCUUCACCAGAGGCAAACAAUCAUUAUCAUCAUCAUCCGAGCCUCAUCACACCUAUUUGGGGUCGGCUAAGUAAAUUUUGUUCGGCCUUCAAGCUUCAUGAAAAAAUGUGGCAAAGUUUUACGUAGGCUUCCCUAUCUAUCACAACCCUCUUUUACUAGAGGGAUUAAGACCUCAGAAGCGUGACUUUUAGGCUGUAGAGAUGUUUCUGGCAAGACACUGUUGAAAGCCCUCGUGGCUACAAAAGAAACACCAUUUUUUCCCCCUAUCCUUGACAAAGUGGAUUAUCUUCACGGGUAUGACAGUUUAAGACUACAUUUUUUCAAGAUUGCUCAUGAAGUUAUCUAACGAUAUUUGUUGGAUAAGACUGCGAAGAAGCCCAAACCAGGUCUAAGCUUUUGCUAAACUCAUGCCAUAAGACAUUCAUUGCCUUCUUUGGCGACUAAAUGCAUCCAGAUGGUGCACUUGGUUCAAGCGAUGGUGCACUUGGUUCAAGAUUGUUCAUAAGGUACCUAAAGAUAUUUGUUGGAUAUGACUACCAAGAAGUCCAAACUGAGCCUAAGCUUUUGCGAAACUCAUAGCAGAAGACAUUCAUUGCUUUCUUUGGUGAAUUAAUGCAUCCAAAUAGUGCACUUGGUUCUUGUAGCAUGUUUCAAUGGCCCUUUUGAUUCUUUGGUGACUUAAUGCAUCCAAAUAGAGCACUUGGUUCUUGCAGCAUGUUUCGAUCACGAUUUCUGUUGCAGAGAAUUGUGAUAUCCUAGUUCCUAGCUACUAGUUAAAGAACAUAGGCAUGUUAUAACAUGUCUACAUUUUAGAUAUGGGUCAUACAAAUGUUGUGUUGCACCUGGCACAUUUAUUGCUUACUAUGGUGAUUGUACUUUCUUGAUGAUA
Amborella trichopoda is the source of this 2956-nucleotide RNA transcript. It is a transcript of the gene named DNA/RNA polymerases superfamily protein, with no coding region annotated. The record is from RefSeq and is a predicted model, not a curated record. NCBI's taxonomy places the organism in Eukaryota, Viridiplantae, Streptophyta, Magnoliopsida, Amborellales, Amborellaceae.